This 496-nucleotide ribosomal RNA is filed under the name uncultured bacterium. RNAcentral's name for it is "partial 16S ribosomal RNA". It matches the Rfam family "Bacterial small subunit ribosomal RNA", at positions 29 to 507 of the family's 1533-position model. The record is from RNAcentral.
ACGAACGCUGGCGGCGUGCCUAAUCCAUGCAAGUCGAGCGAACGGACGAGAAGCUUGCUUCUCUGAUGUUAGCGGCGGACGGGUGAGUAACACGUGGAUAACCUACCUAUAAGACUGGGAUAACUUCGGGAAACCGGAGCUAAUACCGGAUGAUAUUUUGAACCGCAUGGUUCAAAAGUGAAAGACGGUCUUGCUGUCACUUAUAGAUGGAUCCGCGCUGCAUUAGCUAGUUGGUAAGGUAACGGCUUACCAAGGCAACGAUGCAUAGCCGACCUGAGAGGGUGAUCGGCCACACUGGAACUGAGACACGGUCCAGACUCCUACGGGAGGCAGCAGUAGGGAAUCUUCCGCAAUGGGCGAAAGCCUGACGGAGCAACGCCGCGUGAGUGAUGAAGGUCUUCGGAUCGUAAAACUCUGUUAUUAGGGAAGAACAUAUGUGUAAGUAACUGUGCACAUCUUGACGGUACCUAAUCAGAAAGCCACGGCUAACUACGUG